This 461-nucleotide ribosomal RNA is filed under the name uncultured Lachnospiraceae bacterium. Its description in RNAcentral is "bacterial SSU rRNA". It matches the Rfam family "Bacterial small subunit ribosomal RNA", at positions 920 to 1382 of the family's 1533-position model. Lineage: Bacteria; Bacillati; Bacillota; Clostridia; Lachnospirales; Lachnospiraceae. The record is from RNAcentral.
CCCGCACAAGCAGCGGAGCAUGUGGUUUAAUUCGACGCAACGCGAAGAACCUUACCAGGUCUUGACAUCCAGUAAAAUCUGUGGAAACGCAGUGUGCUUUCGGGCGUACUGAGACAGGUGGUGCAUGGUUGUCGUCAGCUCGUGUCGUGAGAUGUUGGGUUAAGUCCCGCAACGAGCGCAACCCUUGUUGAUAGUUACUAACGCGUAGAGGCGAGGACUCUAUCAAGACUGCCGGGGACAACUCGGAGGAAGGUGGGAUGACGUCAAAUCAUCAUGCCCCUUAUGACCUGGGCUACACACGUGCUACAAUGGCCGAUACAGAGAGGAGCAAACCCGCAAGGGGGAGCGGAUCUCAAAAAAGCGGUCACAGUUCGGAUUGUGGGCUGCAACCCGCCCACAUGAAGUUGGAAUCGCUAGUAAUGGCAGAUCAGCAUGCUGCCGUGAAUACGUUCCCGGGUCUU